RNAcentral lists this ribosomal RNA (497 nucleotides) under uncultured bacterium. RNAcentral describes it as "partial 16S ribosomal RNA". It matches the Rfam family "Bacterial small subunit ribosomal RNA", at positions 28 to 507 of the family's 1533-position model. The record is from RNAcentral.
GAUGAACGCUGGCGGCGUGCCUAAUACAUGCCAGUCGAGCGAACGGACGAGAAGCUUGCUUCUCUGAUGUUAGCGGCGGACGGGUGAGUAACACGUGGAUAACCUACCUAUAAGACUGGGAUAACUUCGGGAAACCGUAGCUAAUACCGGAUAAUAUUUUGAACCGCAUGGUUCAAAAGUGAAAGACGGUCUUGCUGUCACUUAUAGAUGGAUCCGCGCUGCAUUAGCUAGUUGGUAAGGUAACGGCUUACCAAGGCAACGAUGCAUAGCCGACCUGAGAGCGUGAUCGGCCACACUGGAACUGAGACACGGUCCAGACUCCUACGGGAGGCAGCAGUAGGGAAUCUUCCGCAAUGGGCGGAAGCCUGACGGAGCAACGCCGCGUGAGUGAUGAAGGUCUUCGGAUCGUAAAACUCUGUUAUUAGGGAAGAACAUAUGUGUAAGUAACUGUGCACAUCUUGACGGUACCUAAUCAGAAAGCCACGGCUAACUACGUG